AGAGAGAGAGAGAGAGAGAGAAGUAUGGCUUUCCCUUCAUUACAAGUAAGCAGUUGCAUCUGGACAUACGAGUUUCAGUUUAAAAAUUUGGUUGCAGUCAUCAAUCGACACAUUAACUACCAAAUAUUAAGUUAAAAAAGUGUAUGGGUUAGCCUUAACUACCAAAUGUAUUAAGUUAAAAAAGUGCAAGGGGUUGCCCUUAAUCCCAAACACAACCCAUCUAUUUGAAGUUCUCAGUUUCUUGAUUUUACUCACAAGUGAUAAGGAAAGCUGAUAAAAAUGUUUUCCCUAAGUUCGGAGGGAAUAUCACAUUGCUUUUAGACUCCAGUGCACAAAAUCCAGAAGGUUAAAGCAUUAACUUUGGCAAAAAGCUAAAGAAAAGCUUUUGCAAUAUGCAUUUUAUAGUUUGGGAGUUUGUGCACUGAAGUUUAAAAGUAAUGCCAUUAAACAUACAAGAAGAAAAAGAUGUAUUGCGCCUUGAAAAACGCUCUACAGAUAUUAAUCACACAAGAAGUAAAUGAUAACAUGUAAACCAGUUUUUCAUCAUUUUCACAGCUACAAAGAAAUCACAACUCAGUGAUCCGAAUCAAAAUUAUGGAGGAAAAACAGCAAGACUCAGAGGGUUUCAGGAAACUUGAGUGCCUGCAAGUAUGCCAUCCAGGAAUAAAGUCAAAUACAUCAACAAAAUAUCAAAAGAUAGCAGGAAAGAAUGCAUAUGGCAUUUCCAUUUUGCUUCAUGUGCAUGAAUUAAAAUCAGAACACGUUAAUGGACCAAUAAUAACAGGUAUAUGCAUUCUCACAAACACAAUAUUAUGAGGUGAUGAGAAGUUGAAAAAGAAAAACCUCUAAGCGCUGGAGAUCAACUACUGCAGGUGCUUCUUUCACACUGGUCAAGUUAUAGAUGCUCAACACGUUGUCCCACCUUGGAACAGUCAUGUUCCUGACAAGACCAUUGACAAUAGCUCCAGGGUAGAGAAGAGCUUUCACUACAGGAACAGGAAAGAUCUCACUUGCAACCAACUGGGAAGAUGUGACAUGAAUUGGUGUAGAACACAUGCCAGAUCUGCAUGGGACCCUGAAAAGAGGGACCUGAAGAAUGAUUAGAAAGAAAUAGAUUCGAGAUGCUAUCGAAGGCAGAUUGCUCACCCAUCCCUUCGACGUUGCUGUUCUUGUUGGUGGUGGAGCUGUUGUAUUUGAUAUUGCCAUUAUUGAGAAAUGAGGAGAGAGAGAGAGAGAGAGUGCAGAGCGAGCAACGCAAAGACCGAGGACAGAGAGGGAGUUCGGAUCUGGUGCUUAAGUACCCACUGGAACUUAAUUGUUAAGCAUUGACGCUUGUCAAGAACUAUGAUGAAACGGUUCGUUUAUAGCAUACCCAGGCCAGAACCGGGUGGACUGCCA
RNAcentral lists this unclassified non-coding RNA (1398 nucleotides) under Hevea brasiliensis (rubber tree). The record is from RNAcentral. Lineage: Eukaryota; Viridiplantae; Streptophyta; Magnoliopsida; Malpighiales; Euphorbiaceae.